Molecule: transfer RNA, 64 nt
Filed under: Oryzias latipes (Japanese medaka)
Lineage: Eukaryota; Metazoa; Chordata; Actinopteri; Beloniformes; Adrianichthyidae
Source: Rfam by way of RNAcentral
CAGUGGUGCAGUGGUUAGCACUCUUGCCUCACAGCAAGAAGGUCCCCGGUUCAAGUCCCGGCUG